AUGAGACGCCCGUUCUCCCCGCCACCCCCGGGGCGGGGAUUGGGUCCGACGGGCCCGUACCACGUCCACCCCGGCGCUCAGCACGGUGCUCGACCCUCGCGACUGGUCAACCCAGCCCGCCCGCCCAGCCCAGACCUGGGGAAUCGAAGGCCUCGUCGUCGGACGGGCCGGGGCUGCCCGGAGGCGCCGGGCUUCGGGCCGGCCCGCCUCCACGCCGGUGGGGCCCCGCCCCCUCCCGCCGCGGACCACGGGGUCCGGGGAGCCGCUUCGGGCCGCCGGGCUGACCGGCGCCUCCGGUCUCGUCUCGCAGACGUGAACGAGUGCGGAGAGCGGCGCCCCGCCCGCCGCGGACCCGUGCGCCCCCGGCCUCUGCGAGAACACGGACGGCUCCUUCCGCUGCCGCUGCCCGCCCGGGUACGUGCCCGCCGCGGCCCCCGCCCGCUGCCUCCCGCGGCACAAGUAGGGGCCGGGCCGGCCCCCCGGGGGGGCCGCCCCGCCUUCCGCCGCCGCCUCCUCGCCUCCGCUCGCCCGGCUUACCCCAGCGCCGGCAGCCGCCCCUUGCCGCUUCGGUCACCCGGGGCGGGCCUGCGGAGGGACCCGCGGGGGGGGUCCCGCCGCCCGCCUCCCGGAACGGCCCGGACCCCCGAGGGAGGCCCGGGCGCGGGCCGCUCCCGCCGCCCCCCCGGGGCCGUCCUGGGGGGUCGGGAGGGCUUGACCCGUCACCCUCCGGCGUCCUCCGGACCCCGCCGCCACGACCGGGCACCGGGCCCCCCGGCUGAGCGCCGCCGUCGGGUGCGGUGGGGCGCCGGGGGGCUCUCGGGGGGGGGGGGGGGUCCGGCUUUCCGGAGGAUCCGGCCGCUCGCGCCCCCCCCCCUCCGGGAAGACGGGUUCGGACGUGUUAAUAAAAUGGUCUAUUUUCUGGCCCGCGGCGUCCGGCGUGUUUCCGUCCGGGGCCGGGAGGGCCGGCGCCCCGGGGUGGGCCCCAACGGGUUUCUCGAAGGCCAGAGGGCCGUUGACUAA
RNAcentral lists this long non-coding RNA (1020 nucleotides) under Ornithorhynchus anatinus (platypus). Its description in RNAcentral is "lncRNA (ENSOANG00000049103.1)". The record is from RNAcentral. Lineage: Eukaryota; Metazoa; Chordata; Mammalia; Monotremata; Ornithorhynchidae.